AAUUACAUUCCAAACUUCAAUCGCGAUUUCCCACAACCUGCCGAAAUUAAUAUACGACAAUCUUUUAACCAGGCGGACGAGAGGUAAAUUGGCGGCCCUGUUGCCAAGUGACAGUGGAAAGUUCGAAAAAUACGAAAAGGAAACAAAACAAAACGAAACUCGAAAAGGAAAGCCUGCAAUAAAACCUGAAACGCGCUAAAUGGUACACAGGGAAAAUUGUAAAAAUCAUUGGUGUUGUGUACGUGCACGUGGGGGGCGUGAAGUUGUUCCAGUACUUUGCUAACUGCCAAAUAGUAGUGGAAGAAUAGUAGCAUAUCUGGUGGAUUUUUAUUCAAAAUGGGAAAAACUAGAAGAAACCGUGUGCGGCAUAUAGCCAAUUCCAAUCCAUUGGGGAUAGCUAGCAUUAAUGAUUUGUUGAAUGGUGAUGAAGAUUCAAUGGAUAAUGGAUUAGGCCCAGUGGAUUCAAUGCGCGAGCAACUACUGACUGCCAAUGUUGAGGAAAAACUAAAUGCUUUACAAUCACUGGCGGUGUUGGUGCAGUCUGGCAAAAAGGACAAACUGGCGGCAAUUUGCGAAAGCGACAUUAUACGCAUAACAGCACCUUACCUGUACGAUCGUGAUCAACCUUUGCGGAAUGCAGCUGCAGGAGCUCUUCGUAACUUCACUGUCUGUGUGCCAGAAGUAUGCGACAUCUUUGUUGAACAGGACGUGCUUACACCACUUUUAGCGCUACUCGGCGAAUACGCACAAGAUGACGAUUGGGUACCUAGUUUUGACAAUGCAAUGGGCGGUCAAUUAGAUAUACGUUCUGAUACAUUUCUGCAAGCCAUAAAUCUCUUAUGGAACUUGUGUGAGAGUUCGAUGGCGGCGCUGGAAUCCUUUAAUCAAACACAAUUAAUUGGAGGUCUCAUUCGCUGUCUAGAUCAUACUGUUUUUGGUUUAGACAUAGCAAUAUCAGUAGCACAGUGCAUGUUGGUUGUCUCAGAAAGCAACGCAAGAGUUUGGAAUGCACUGACACAGCAUAUAAAAGCAUUGCUAAGUUUGCUGGAAAUAACUGGCGGGUUUGGACACCAUUAUCUGCGCAGCUUGGGAGCAGGUAUUCUAUCAAAUGUACCAGCCUUAGCAGCGGCAUACCCCAGCAACAUUCUGAAUUGCUUAGCACAAACUUUGGCUGUGGAUCAACAAGAGGCUUUGUCAAAUGUGCUGAAUGCACGCGUUAAUAACGAACGCAAUGAAUGCAUACCAGUGCUGGAUAUUAAUAUGGAAACCGAAGAGGAAGAGACAGAAGAGGCGGCAGCUUUGCGUAGGCGGCGACAGGAACUGCCAACACCAGCAGAAAUUGCGAUCAAAGAGGUUGGAAAUCUGUUGGAUGCUCAUCGUGUCGCCGCGGAAAUUAUCACAAAUUUAGUGUCAAGUGAUGACGAAGAGUGGGUUGAUUCCGAUGGCGAAGAUGCAUCAGAAGGUGAAGGUGUUGUAGAUUGUGAAAUAGAGAAUGCAAAUAGCAAUGGUGACAUACAAGAUGGCGAUAAGCUUCCCGGAGAAUUAGUGGAAAUGAUAAAAUCAUUAGGAAUUGUGCAAAAGCUUUGGCAAAAAGCGCAAGUUUUACCAGAUAAUGUUGCGCAAUCCUUGCGGGAAGUAAACUUAGGUUUAGUAAUGAAGGCGAAAAAUUUGCGUAUUUCAUCAUUACUUUGCCUGCAAAACUUGUGCAAUGCAUUGAGUCCUAACGAUAUGGGCGGUGCCAAGGCUAUUUACGAUGUCUGGGUAGAACUUGGUCAGCAAGUAUUCAAGGGAGCGCAAGAUGUUGCUGUUAUGGAGCCCGCGACUUCGCUAAUGCGAGCGGCUUUAGAACGUUUAAAAACAAAUAAAGAACUUUUCAAUCAAAUGGCAGAAAAUGACUUGGAGUUGAUCUUCAAUGGCGUAAAAAAUUGCAGUGUAGCUGAAAUACGUGCGAAUUGGUUACGCAUGUUGGGCACAUUGGGUUGUCUGCUGCCUGAAACAUUAGUGCGCAUCAUAAUCACCUUUAUUAUAGACGCAUGCGCUGAGGAAGAAGAUGUUUGGACAAUUUCCGAGGCGCUUGACGCUUUAAUGGAUAUGUUUGCCGAUAACGAUUGGCCAAAAAUGAUUGUUGAGUUGAAUUUACCGGAAGUGUUGAAAAAGUUAGAGAAAAUGUUUAAAAAUAAGAUACGUCAGCAGCGUCGUGAACUGAAAGAUCGUUAUCCAGCUGUGCAGACGGUGCGCAUAAAUUUGACGCGUUUCAUUCGAUAUAUGGAGACAGAGGCGGAUAAGUACGUGAUCAAUUCAUAAGAUUUGAGAAAUAAAUUACUUUUAAAACUGCAUUUAAAGUAAUGCAAAUUUCGGCCCCAUACUAUGUAAAUAGAUAUCUACAUUUUUUAUUUGACAAAAAGAAAAUUCUAUAACUAGAAUUUGAAACCAAUGUUAGUACCUUUAUUAUUCGAAUAGGGUGUUAUGUGAUUCAAUGAAUACCAUUUGAGAACUGUAAUAUAGCCUGUCGGAUUCAGUGUAUGGCGUACGAAUGGCUAAACUUGAUCAUUGAAAUUGCCCCGCUAGCAUCCCAAUAGAAAUUUCUUGCUCGGCACGAUGUUUUACUCCUUAACUCAUACCAAUUCCACAGAGGGUUUUUGAGGAAUCAGCUGGAGUCCUUGGCUAAAUAUACUAGCGUAGAGCGGCAUUCAAGAAAGGAAUUAGAUCUGAGUCUUCCUCGACUGUGUCCUACUAGUCCCCGGCCAUCACUCAGGUGGAACACACUUUAGAAACCACUCGACUAAUCGCCUUUAAUGUGGCUAACAACGUGUUUUUCUCUCCUGCGAAGGGCGACGAUUGCGGUUUUGGUGGCAGAGGAAUAAGCUGCCGGUCUGCUAAGGUUGGAUUUAUAAUGACAUCGACCCGUAUGCCUAAGUUGACCUUGACCUCCUUCAACCAGGUGGUAAAAGGUAUUACUAUUGAUUUCAUAGUUGAAAGGGUUAGGUUAUUAAGGGAUAACCUUAACCUUUCUUCGAAAGAUAAGUCAUGUAGGUCAGUGUCCGAUGCCAAAAUCGAACAUUUAUCGUCGUAUAAGACUAAGGAAAUGCCCUUCAUGGUUUUUGCUACUGGUUGUAGGUGAAGUACCAGGAAAUAUUGCAUUACUGCUCCUACCCAGCCUGACGAAACAUCUCUAACUGUCGGAAGACCAGUAUGGAUACCGAAAAAUGCACAGCACCACUACUGCAUUAAACGCCAUUACCACACAGAUAAGCGGGGGUCUGAACCAAGGCCGACCAUGUUAGAGGACAAUUAUAGUCGCAGUUGACCUUUCGAAGGCAUUCGACAUGCAAUCCUUUGCCAAGAGGUCCAGGACUCGGCGCUUUAA
This 3367-nucleotide unclassified non-coding RNA is filed under the name Rhagoletis pomonella (apple maggot). RNAcentral's name for it is "hEAT repeat-containing protein 3, transcript variant X1". Lineage: Eukaryota; Metazoa; Arthropoda; Insecta; Diptera; Tephritidae. The record is from RNAcentral.